AGAUAAGCCAUGCAUGUCUAAGUAUAAGCAAUUAUACCGCGAAACUGCGAAUGGCUCAUUAAAUCAGUUAUCGUUUAUUUGAUAGUACCUUACUACUUGGAUAACCGUGGUAAUUCUAGAGCUAAUACAUGCUAAAAACCCCGACUUCGGAAGGGGUGUAUUUAUUAGAUUAAAAACCAAUGCCCUUCGGGGCUCUCUGGUGAUUCAUAAUAACUUCUCGAAUCGCACGGCCUUGCGCCGGCGAUGGUUCAUUCAAAUUUCUGCCCUAUCAACUUUCGACGGCUGGGUCUUGGCCAGCCAUGGUGACAACGGGUAACGGAGGGUUAGGGCUCGACCCCGGAGAAGGAGCCUGAGAAACGGCUACUACAUCCAAGGAAGGCAGCAGGCGCGCAAAUUACCCAAUCCCGACUCGGGGAGGUAGUGACAAUAAAUACUGAUACAGGGCUCUUUUGGGUCUUGUAAUUGGAAUGAGUACAAUUUAAAUCCCUUAACGAGGAACAAUUGGAGGGCAAGUCUGGUGCCAGCAGCCGCGGUAAUUCCAGCUCCAAUAGCGUAUAUUAAAGUUGUUGCAGUUAAAAAGCUCGUAGUUGAACCUUGGGCCUGGCUGGCCGGUCCGCCUCACCGCGUGCACUGGUCCGGCCGGGCCUUUCCCUCUGGGGAACCGCAUGCCCUUCACUGGGUGUGUCGGGGAACCAGGACUUUUACUUUGAACAAAUUAGAUCGCUUAAAGAAGGGCUAUGCUCGAAUA
RNAcentral lists this ribosomal RNA (748 nucleotides) under Sordariomycetes sp. RNAcentral describes it as "SSU rRNA". It matches the Rfam family "Eukaryotic small subunit ribosomal RNA", at positions 41 to 801 of the family's 1831-position model. The record is from RNAcentral. Lineage: Eukaryota; Fungi; Ascomycota; Sordariomycetes.